GGCGAACGGGUGAGUAACACGUGAGUAACCUGCCUUAGACAUUGGGAUAGCCUCGGGAAACCGGGAUUAAUACCAAAUGAAAUCACAUAUGCACAUGCAUAAAUGAUCAAAGCUCCGGCGGUCUAAGAUGGACUCGCGUCCCAUUAGCUAGUUGGUGAGGUAACGGCCCACCAAGGCGACGAUGGGUAGCCGGCCUGAGAGGGUGAACGGCCACAUUGGAACUGAGAAACGGUCCAAACUCCUACGGGAGGCAGCAGUGGGGAAUAUUGCACAAUGGAGGGAACUCUGAUGCAGCGACGCCGCGUGAACGAAGAAGGCUUUCGAGUCGUAAAGUUCUUUUAUGUGGGAAGAUAAUGACGGUACCAUAAGAAAAAGCCCCGGCUAACUACGUGCCAGCAGCCGCGGUAAUACGUAGGGGGCUAGCGUUGUCCGGAAUCACUGGGCGUAAAGGGUUCGCAGGCGGAAAUGCAAGUCAGGUGUAAAAGGCAGUAGCUUAACUACUGUAAGCAUUUGAAACUGCAUAUCUUGAGAAGAGUAGAGGUAAGUGGAAUUUUUAGUGUAGCGGUGAAAUGCGUAGAUAUUAAAAAGAAUACCGGUGGCGAAGGCGACUUACUGGGCUCAUUCUGACGCUGAGGAACGAAAGCGUGGGUAGCAAACAGGAUUAGAUACCCUGGUAGUCCACGCUGUAAACGAUGAGUGCUAGGUAUCGGAAAAAUUCGGUGCCGCAGUUACACAUUAAGCACUCCGCCUGGGGAUA
RNAcentral lists this ribosomal RNA (757 nucleotides) under uncultured Clostridia bacterium. Its description in RNAcentral is "bacterial SSU rRNA". It matches the Rfam family "Bacterial small subunit ribosomal RNA", at positions 97 to 881 of the family's 1533-position model. Lineage: Bacteria; Bacillati; Bacillota; Clostridia. The record is from RNAcentral.